Molecule: ribosomal RNA, 606 nt
Filed under: Triticum aestivum (bread wheat)
Lineage: Eukaryota; Viridiplantae; Streptophyta; Magnoliopsida; Poales; Poaceae
Description: partial small subunit ribosomal RNA
Source: RNAcentral
AUGUCACGGUUGCAAACUCUAACUAACUUUCUCACAUGUGUAGUCGUCAAAAAAAAAGAAAAACUUUCUCACAUGUGUGUUCUAAAAGAACAAUGCUCUCAACAUAAUUUAGUUUCCAUCUCUGUUCCGGCUCUCCUGGCCUUCCUCGACCUAUACGCCAUCGCCGCCGCCGCCAUCACACGAUGUCGCCGCCGCUGCUGCGGACGACUUCCCGACGCUCAGGGCGCUGCGGUAGAACUGCGCUUGGCUGCAGUGCGUGUUCCCGGCGCCAUUGCCGACCGUCGGUGCGCCACCGUGCUGGCACCUCGACGGGCUGCUCGAGGUAAUGGCCGUGAGGCGUACAAGUUGACCUCACGCUGCAAUCGCUCUAAUAAAAAGGGCCACGAUUCAAUCGAUCCCCAUGUCAUCCUGAACUUCAGAUUUCCAUCCAACUCAGCAAUCGAUCUGAAAAAAGGUCAUAGACUCACAAUCCCUUUCUUCUUCUUUCAUGAAUCAUCUCAGAUUUCAGGUUCUGACUAUGAGGCUUCCCAACAUAAUUUUUCUAGGCCAAUUAUUGAAUCAAUCUUACACCGGUUGAUGCAGCGGAGGAGGAGGCGGCUGCAGUAG